ACUGCAUGCUGAGGUGACAUCCCCUAACCCUACCUACUCAAUUAAAUUUGAGAAAUAUGUUUGGAAAAAUGUACUUCUAAAAUACUUUUAUUUCAUCAUGUUCAUUCACUCUUGAGUUGCUGUAACAUUAAGCAAAUGGUUGAAUUGCCACCUCAGCAUGCAGUUAAGUGUAUAGUCUUUCUAAUUACCUAUUAAUGUUAUUCAGGUGUGCUGCAAGAGGGACACGUGUUAAAUUUACGGGACACCAGCCAUCGAUGACUGGAGUUUGAGACCCCUGAUGUAGGGCAUUGAAGAUUUCAAAAGCUUGUUUCUCUUCAUAAAUUAAAUCCCGGUCUAAAAACUGCUUUUUGUCAUUUGUGAUGAUGACUUGGAAAAUACAAAUGGGAUGAAAACAUAAAACUAACAAAUUUGUUAGAGGUCAGAUAAAAUCAAGGCUGUGUUUUUGGAAAUAAUCCUGCCCACAUUUGCAAAACAUGAACUGUAUGUGAAAGUCAUGUUUGUUAGUAGUUGUUGUUGCUGUUUUUUAAAUAAAUGUGGGAAUCUCCAGCAAAGUCCUUACAUUCAACAGCUCACAUUCAGGACUCAUUUCUGGUUUUUAUUAUUAAAUUAUCUACAAAGAAAUUAUCAUUAUACUGCAUUUUUAUAAUUAGGCCCUAAUAUCAGCUAUCAUAAGUUUGUCAUAGAUUUAAUUCAGUGCUUAUUGCUGUGUAUCAAACAUGCCCCAAAUGUGACUGAAAUAUAUAUAAACUGCUGUGCAAGAACCAUGUGGCACCAAAUUUUUCAUUUUUACCAAAACUCAUACUGAGUAAAAUUCUGUGUACUUUCAAGUUCUUGUCCUACUGAAUUUUAAUUUUCAGACUGUUUGUUUUUAUUGUGUUAAUAGAAUUUGAAUGCAGGCCACCUCAAAUGUUAAAGGCUACAAACAUUACAUACAAGCUAUCAUUUGUGAUUGGUGCCUCCUUUUAAAUUGUCACCAUUUGAUAAAGUGUGCAUUUCUAGGUGUAGCAAAUCAUUGGUUAUGAUAUCUACUCUGGUAUGUAAUCGAACCUAAAUUGUAGAGCAUUACAUGACUAAGAAACUUGUGUGGUUUAUUGCAAAUGGAUCAAACCACAUAUUACCUUCAUGAAGAGGUCGAUCUUUAUUAGGAUGUAGAGAAAAAAAGAAAACAGAGAGGAGCUGUUACAUGUAUUCCAGCUGUGGUAAUCAAAACAAUUUUCCUGAAUAUAUUUGACUAGAGAGUGAUGCAGUAUUGACUCUGAUGCUGAUUUGAGUUGUCUCAUUCUGUAUUUUUGUUCUUUGUCUUUUGCUACAGAGUGAACAGAUCUUUGGUUUUGCCUUUUUUGACUGCUGAUCUGAUCGUCUCAAAUCUGGUGACCUGCUGCAGAAGCUCUCUCCCUCUAUCAUUAACAAGCCAUUCAGUCUGUCCUAUCACUCUACCCACUCUAUCUAUUUUGACAAGCCGUUCUAUCUUGCUUCACUCUAUCCCACAAGCUCUAUCUAAGUUAUCAAAAAUCACGUUUUUUACUGGAAUCCAAUUUUGACUGGAAUCAAGUUUUGACUGGAAUAAUCAAGUUUUGACAUGGCCCCAUUUUUGGGAAAUUGAAGUUACCAGUACUUCAUCUAUCUGUUACAGAAUUCUGACAGGUCUCUGCUCUCACUGCUCCUUCUUUCCUAUCGUUAAACUCUCUCACAUCCAGUCUUUUUGCUGGAAAUUACAAGUAGAAAGUUGAAAUUACAAUAGUAGAAUUACAGUACAGUAGAAACUAUUUACACAGCUGUAGAUUAGUAAUUUUAAUUUUUACUUGGAACACGUUGGAAUAAACACUGAUAGUUUGGCUUAGAGGUGCAAUUACUUUGAUACAUUAUAUAAAAUUUACACCUUCUUUAAGGUUUUUUGUAAUAAGAUAAACUUGUUAUUUUAUACGACAUUCAGACUGCUGUAUUCGCAAAAAUAUUAAAUUAGAUAACUU
Molecule: long non-coding RNA, 1970 nt
Organism: Oreochromis aureus
Lineage: Eukaryota; Metazoa; Chordata; Actinopteri; Cichliformes; Cichlidae
Exons: 3
Source: RefSeq, a predicted model, not a curated record